GGAUACCAGGGGCAGAACGGGGAUUUGGGAAUACCAGGGGGGAGGGGUGGCGUGCGGGUGUAUGAGGUGUGGAGUGGACUGGAUAGUGAGCAGUGCGGACUACCGACCCGUUUAGAAUUUUUUUUUUGAUUUUCUGGUAUGGAAUGGAUAGGGCUAAAUUGUGGUGGGUCCACUGCCGUACGUAAGAUCGAGAAACUUUUGUGCAAGAUGUUGCGGUUUUUUCUUUUGUGCAAGAUGUCCACAAGUGGAUGGUGUGUGCUUUUCUAGCGAUAGGAAAAAUACAGAUCGAGUCGGUCUUGAAUAUCUGAAAUUAUAUUGUCCUCUUAAAAUUGUUUACAGAUGUACAUUUACAUAUAUGCGCGCGUAAAAAAGAAUUGAACCGAGAAUGGGUUAUUCCGUUUGUGUCAUUUUCUCGACGCAAGACGCAUGCUAGAAAUCUCAAAAACAAAUGUAGCAUACUAGUGUCACCUACAACACUGAGGGAACAAGUAAAUGUUUGCAAAAACACAAAAUCUCCUUGCACCAUGAAAAUAAGAAUAAAAAAAUCAUGUACCGUCGCACAAAAUUUGGGAGUGUAAAAAAAUCAUUGAAAAAUAUUAACAUGCAC
Molecule: long non-coding RNA, 607 nt
Filed under: Brachypodium distachyon (stiff brome)
Lineage: Eukaryota; Viridiplantae; Streptophyta; Magnoliopsida; Poales; Poaceae
Description: long non-coding RNA (BDIS_LNC000047)
Source: RNAcentral